Molecule: ribosomal RNA, 560 nt
Filed under: uncultured bacterium
Lineage: Bacteria
Description: partial 16S ribosomal RNA
Rfam family: Bacterial small subunit ribosomal RNA
Source: RNAcentral
UGGGGAAUAUUGGACAAUGGGCGCAAGCCUGAUCCAGCCAUGCCGCGUGAGUGAUGAAGGCCUUAGGGUUGUAAAGCUCUUUCGGCGGGGACGAUAAUGACGGUACCCGCAGAAGAAGCCCCGGCUAACUUCGUGCCAGCAGCCGCGGUAAUACGAAGGGGGCUAGCGUUGCUCGGAAUCACUGGGCGUAAAGGGCGCGUAGGCGGACAUUUAAGUCGGGGGUGAAAGCCCAGGGCUCAACCCUGGAAUUGCCUCCGAUACUGGGUGUCUCGAGACCGGUAGAGGUGAGUGGAACUGCGAGUGUAGAGGUGAAAUUCGUAGAUAUUCGCAAGAACACCAGUGGCGAAGGCGGCUCACUGGUCCGGUUCUGACGCUGAGGCGCGAAAGCGUGGGGAGCAAACAGGAUUAGAUACCCUGGUAGUCCACGCCGUAAACGAUGGAUGCUAGCCGUUGGCAGGCUUGCCUGUCAGUGGCGCAGCUAACGCUUUAAGCAUCCCGCCUGGGGAGUACGGCCGCAAGGUUAAAACUCAAAGGAAUUGACGGGGUCAUAGCUGUUUCCU